Molecule: ribosomal RNA, 94 nt
Filed under: Aganisia cyanea
Lineage: Eukaryota; Viridiplantae; Streptophyta; Magnoliopsida; Asparagales; Orchidaceae
Description: 5.8S ribosomal RNA
Rfam family: 5.8S ribosomal RNA
About the family: 5.8S ribosomal RNA (5.8S rRNA) is a component of the large subunit of the eukaryotic ribosome. It is transcribed by RNA polymerase I as part of the 45S precursor that also contains 18S and 28S rRNA. Functionally, it is thought that 5.8S rRNA may be involved in ribosome translocation.
Source: RNAcentral
GACACGACUUUCGGCAAUGGAUAUUUCGGCUCUCGCAUCGAUGAAGAGCGCAGCGAAAUGCGAUACGUGGUGCGAAUUGCAGAAUCCCGCGAAC